Molecule: ribosomal RNA, 107 nt
Filed under: Klebsiella pneumoniae
Lineage: Bacteria; Pseudomonadati; Pseudomonadota; Gammaproteobacteria; Enterobacterales; Enterobacteriaceae
Also listed under: 42 other names
Description: partial 23S ribosomal RNA
Rfam family: Bacterial large subunit ribosomal RNA
Source: RNAcentral
UAAGUCUCCUGAAGGAACGUUAAAGACGAUGACGUUGAUAGGCCGGGUGUGUAAGCGCAGCGAUGCGUUGAGCUAACCGGUACUAAUGAACCGUGAGGCUUAACCUU